UGACUCGCACCUGGGAGUCAGAAGGGGUUGAUUGGCCUUAGAUAAAAGGACAGAGCAGGAACAGAGUAGCAGAGGCACAUGGGAGAAGGAGGAGGCCAUGGAGAACAUGAGGAAGACCUGAGAUUAUGAUUAUGAUUAUGAUUAUGAUUAUGAUUAUGAGUAUGAGUAUGAGUAUGAGUAUGAGGAGGGAAGGAGGGAAGGAGAGAAGACACCAAAGCGUGACAGAUCAUACGGAACUGGCGGAGAAGCAGCCAGCAGAUCGGACGAAGGGACACGGGAAAAGAACCUAGGAGCCCUGAAGCUACAAUCAAGAAAACGCUAACACCGACCGCUAGCGGCAAAAGUGCAAGAGUGUAAAACCUCUCCCUCCCGCGUCAUGCCCCAAGGAAGGUGACCGGUACAAAGGAGGCUGCUUCCUGGCUGAGCCCUGUGGACAUUUUAAGCCAAGACUCCUGUUCUGUCUGGACUGUUUUAACUUGAUGUUUAUUUGUUUAAAAAAUCCUUUUUAACUAAUUUUAUUGUUACUCCUUUAAAAUAAAUCCGUUACUCCUCA
Perca flavescens (yellow perch) is the source of this 553-nucleotide long non-coding RNA. RefSeq lists it as uncharacterized. The transcript is spliced from 2 exons. Lineage: Eukaryota; Metazoa; Chordata; Actinopteri; Perciformes; Percidae. The record is from RefSeq and is a predicted model, not a curated record.